Phacochoerus africanus (Common warthog) is the source of this 553-nucleotide long non-coding RNA. RefSeq lists it as uncharacterized. The transcript is spliced from 2 exons. The record is from RefSeq and is a predicted model, not a curated record. Lineage: Eukaryota; Metazoa; Chordata; Mammalia; Artiodactyla; Suidae.
CGGGCGGUGUCGCCACCGCCUUCUCGCCCGCGUCGGUCAAGUCAGGUGGCUGGUACCUUAGUACUCCAGAUCUCCUCGAAUGUUUAAAAAAAUAUUUCGUACAGUCAAAUGACUUUCCGUCAUAUAAGCUGUAAACAAGGCAUCUUGAGAAAGUGUUUGUUCAUCUGUAGCCUAGAAGGACCCCUCAGCUGAAGGCAUCCUGGGCAGGGAGAAGCCAUGGAGCUGGAUGGGACAGUGCAGUGACCAAAGAGCACAGUUACGUCAGUCAGAGGAGAGAGGAACUGAACUGGGGACCAAGGCUUGAGGAAGCAACAGAUGGAGUCAACUGGAAGCCUUGCGAAGACCCGGGAAAGAGAGCUAGGACGAGACCCAAGUGUAGUAAUUUUUUAGUAAUGUAAAUGGUUAUCAAUAAACAAAACUGAGUACGGCCAUGAGGUGCCUACCAUCUCAGGUUGCUAGAGAGCAGAAGCAUGCCGGCUCCACCUCCCUUCUGCUUUGACCCCUCACCAUUACUAUGGCAACAAGCUUUCCAGUAAAUGUUGGAAAAACUCAA